Otolemur garnettii (small-eared galago) is the source of this 256-nucleotide non-coding RNA. The record is from Rfam. NCBI's taxonomy places the organism in Eukaryota, Metazoa, Chordata, Mammalia, Primates, Galagidae.
GCCGGGCAUUGUGGCGGGCGCCUGUGGUCCCAGCUACUUGGGAGGCGGAGGCAGGAGACUCGCUUGAGCCCAGGAGUUGGAGGUUGCUAUGAGCUGUAAUGCCAUGGCACUCUACCCAGGGGGACAGCUUGAGGCUCUGUCUCAAAAAAAAAAAAAAAGAGACAGAGUUUCACUUUAUCGCCCUUGGUAGAGUGCUAUGGCGUCACAGCUCACAGCAACCUUCAACUCCUGGGCUUAGGCGAUUCUCUUGCUUCAG